UGACCGUCAAGUCUACGACACAUGGACUAGCCAUAGCACAUAGGCACCAUCGGUAUGAUGCUCGUUGAGUCUCGUUAGAAGCGUUAUGUAUGCUCAUAUGACGUAUCAGAGAGCCGGCUACUCGUCCAGCAGCGGUAUCGAGUCGAGCGUUAUCGAUACUGCGUACGCAGCAGCCGUAAUAGUGAGUGUGAAGCCCUGGCUACUGGGAUGCAUUUCAGACUGGUACUAGAGUACUUAGGAGGGUAGAUCACGUGUAGCGUGAAUGCGUAGAGAUGUGAGGAAUACGAAGGCGAAGGCAGCCCCUGGGAAUGUACUGACGCUCAUGUGCGAAAGCGUGGGAGCAAACAGGAUUAGAUACCUGGUAGUCCACGCUGUAAACGCUGUCGAUUUGGGGAUUGGGCUUAAAGCUUGGUGCCCGUAGCUAACGUGAUAAAUCGACCGCUGGGGAGUACGGCCGCAAGGUUAAAACUCAAAUGAAUUGACGGGGGCCCGCACAAGCGGUGGAGCAUGUGGUUUAAUUCGAUGCAACGCGAAGAACCUUACCUACUCUUGACAUCCAUGGAAUCUUAUAGAGAUAUGAGAGUGCCUUCGGGAACCAUGAGACAGGUGCUGCAUGGCUGUCGUCAGCUCGUGUUGUGAAAUGUUGGGUUAAGUCCCGCAACGAGCGCAACCCUUAUCCUUUGUUGCCAGCGAUUCGGUCGGGAACUCAAAGGAGACUGCCAGUGAUAAACUGGAGGAAGGUGGGGAUGACGUCAAAUCAUCAUGCCCCUUAUGACCUGGGCUACACACGUGCUACAAUGGCUGGUACAACGAGUCGCAAGCCGGUGACGGCAAGCUAAUCUCUUAAAGCCAGUCUCAGUUCGGAUUGUAGGCUGCAACUCGCCUACAUGAAGUCGGAAUCGCUAGUAAUCGCGGAUCAGCACGCCGCGGUGAAUACGUUCCCGGGCCUUGUACACACCGCCCGUCACACCACGAGAGUUUGUAACACCCGAAGUCGGUGAGGUAACCGUAAGGAGCCAGCCGCCUAAGGUGGGAUAGAUGAUUGGGGUGAAGUCGUAACAAGGUAGCCGUAUCGGAAGGUGCGGCUGGAACACCUCCUUC
RNAcentral lists this ribosomal RNA (1101 nucleotides) under uncultured bacterium. RNAcentral's name for it is "bacterial SSU rRNA". It matches the Rfam family "Bacterial small subunit ribosomal RNA". The record is from RNAcentral.